UCUCCGUUGGUGAAUCAGCGGAGGGAUCAUUAUAGAGUUUUCUAAACUCCCAACCCUUUGUGAACACAUCUUGUUGCUUCGGGGGCGACCCUGCCGGCACUCUGUCGCCGGGCGCCCCCGAAGGUCUCCAAACACUGCAUCUUUGCGUCGGAGUUUGAAACAAAUUAAACAAAACUUUCAACAACGGAUCUCUUGGUUCUGGCAUCGAUGAAGAACGCAGC
This 221-nucleotide unclassified non-coding RNA is filed under the name uncultured fungus. RNAcentral describes it as "sequence contains ITS1, 5.8S rRNA gene". The stretch from base 173 to 221 matches the Rfam family "5.8S ribosomal RNA", at positions 1 to 49 of the family's 154-position model. Lineage: Eukaryota; Fungi. The record is from RNAcentral.